RNAcentral lists this unclassified non-coding RNA (312 nucleotides) under plant metagenome. Its description in RNAcentral is "partial contains 5.8S ribosomal RNA, internal transcribed spacer 2, and large subunit ribosomal RNA". The stretch from base 1 to 105 matches the Rfam family "5.8S ribosomal RNA", at positions 50 to 154 of the family's 154-position model. The record is from RNAcentral.
GAAAUGCGAUACGUAGUGUGAAUUGCAGAAUUCAGUGAAUCAUCGAAUCUUUGAACGCACAUUGCGCCCUCUGGCAUUCCGGGGGGCAUGCCUGUCCGAGCGUCAUUACGCACCCUCAAGCCCGGCUUGUGUGAUGGGCCCUGGCGUCUCGUUCGCGAGACGGGCCCGAAAGGCAGCGGCGGCGUCGACCCGAUGAGCCCGAGCGUAUGGGGACUUUUGUCACACGUUUGCGGUGCGGACCGGCGCCUGCUUGACUUUUCUGAUUAUCCAGGUUGACCUCGGAUCAGGUAGGGAUACCUGCUGAACUUAAGC